Raphanus sativus (radish) is the source of this 909-nucleotide RNA transcript. It is a transcript of the gene named protein GET1, with no coding region annotated. The transcript is spliced from 8 exons. NCBI's taxonomy places the organism in Eukaryota, Viridiplantae, Streptophyta, Magnoliopsida, Brassicales, Brassicaceae. The record is from RefSeq and is a predicted model, not a curated record.
CUUGAAUUUUGUUACUAGAAACGAAAAGAGUCACAGACUUUUAUUUCUGAAAAUCUAAACCAUCCUCUUGUCUGUUUUUUUUUUCAUAUGAAGUCUUUACCCUUGAAGAAGUAUUGAGAUUGUGGAAAUCUACGACGGAAAAAAAUUAAUCGGUAAAUCAUGGAAGGAGAGAAUCUGAUUAAAGAUCACGGCUUUGUGGCCGCUCCUCUGACGUUCUUCGUCGUCGUCGUGUUCCAGUUGCUGUCAAAGAGGCUAGACCAGUUGAAGAAGAAAGGGUCGAAGAACACGAGGGAAGCGGACUGAGAUCUGAGAUUAAGCAGCUUUUGAGAGAGGCCACUGGGUUGUCUCAGCCAGCCACGUUUGCGCAAGCGGCUAAGCUUAGGAGGUCUGCAGCUAGUAAAGAGAAAGAACUUGCACAAUAUUUGGAGCAUCACAAUAAAGAAAUUAAUCUGUCAUACGAUCUGUAUGGAAAGGUUCUGCUUGCUUCAAAGGUUGUGGUAUAUAUAAUCUUGGUACUUUGGUUCUGGAGGACUCCAAUUGCCAUUAUUGCUAAACAACUUGUUCAACCCUUUGGGAGGCUGUUAUCUUGGGGGACAGGAGGUCACUUGACAGGCCAUGUGAUGGUUGGGAUCAUACCGUGGCUAAUACUCUCAACCAGAGUGAGCAAAUAUGUGUGUAGGUUCGUGGAGUUCUAAACCACAGUCCUGAAGAGAGUGGAGUCUAAUGUUUUAGGAGUCGCUUGUGGUCAGACUUGUUCUUUUUCUCAUCAUCUACCUACCUUGACAUUUUUGUACAUGAUACGAAUCUUGUUCUCCGGUUUGUGUUGGAUUUGACCAAUAACAAGUUUUUUUUUGUGUUUUCAUAGUUGUAACGACAUUGGCCGAAUGUCACUAAGAUCAGUCUCCACUC